GACGAACGCUGGCGGCGUGCUUAACACAUGCAAGUCGAACGGAAAGGCCCUGCUUGCAGGGUGCUCGAGUGGCGAACGGGUGAGUAACACGUAGGUGAUCUGCCCCUUACUUUGGGAUAAGCCUGGGAAACUGGGUCUAAUACUGGAUAGGACCAUGCUGUAGGUGGUGUGGUGGAAAGAUUAGUUUCGGUAAGGGAUGAGCUCGCGGCCUAUCAGCUUGUUGGUGGGGUAAUGGCCUACCAAGGCGUCGACGGGUAGCCGGCCUGAGAGGGUGGACGGCCACAUUGGGACUGAGAUACGGCCCAGACUCCUACGGGAGGCAGCAGUGGGGAAUAUUGCACAAUGGGCGCAAGCCUGGUGCAGCGACGCCGCGUGGGGGAUGACGGCCUUCGGGUUGUAAACUCCUUUCAGCCAUGACGAAGCCCUUGUGGUGACGGUAGUGGUAGAAGAAGCACCGGCUAACUACGUG
This 469-nucleotide ribosomal RNA is filed under the name uncultured bacterium. RNAcentral's name for it is "partial 16S ribosomal RNA". It matches the Rfam family "Bacterial small subunit ribosomal RNA", at positions 28 to 507 of the family's 1533-position model. The record is from RNAcentral.